RNAcentral lists this long non-coding RNA (1309 nucleotides) under Parus major (Great Tit). Its description in RNAcentral is "lncRNA (ENSPMJG00000003958.1)". The record is from RNAcentral. Lineage: Eukaryota; Metazoa; Chordata; Aves; Passeriformes; Paridae.
GGGUUUUUUUGGGGUUUCUUUGGGAUUUCUUUGGAAUUUUUUUGGGAUUUUUUUGGGAUUUUUUUUGAAUUAUUUUUAAAUUUUUUGGGGAUUUUUUGGGGGAUUUUUUGGGAUUUUUUGGGGAUUUUUUUGGGAUUUUUUUUAGAUUUCUUUGGGAUUUUUUGGGAUUUUUUUCAGGAUUUUUUGGAAUUUUUUUGGGGAUUUUUUGGGAUUUUUUGGGGUUUUUUGGGGAUUUUAUUUUGGAUUUUUUUGGGAUUUUUUGGGGGAUUUUUUGAGGAUUUUUUGGGAUUUCUUUGGGAUCUUUUUGGGAUUUUUUUUUUAUUUUUUUUGAAUUUUUGGGGGAUUUUUCGGGGAUUUUUUUGGGGAUUUUUUGAGGAUUUUUUGGGGAUUUUUUUGGGGAUUUUUUGGUGGAUUUUGGGGUGAGGAAAUGAGGAUUUUGGAGUGUGGGGGAGGGGCCAGGUGUGUCCAGGUGUGUCCCCAGGUGUGUCCAGGUGUCCCCAGGUGCGUUCCAGACCAGGUUCCAGAACGUUCUAGAGGUUCUAGACUCGGUUCUAGAUCGGGUUCUAGAUCGGGUUCUAGAACGUUCUAGGUACGUUCCAGAUCAGGUUCUAGAACGUUCUAGAUCGGGUUCUAGGUGUGCUCUAGGUACGUUCUAGAGGUUCUAGAUCACGUUCUAGAACGUUCUAGACUCGGUUCUAGACUCGGUUCUCGAUCGGGUUCCGGACUGUUCCAGAACCGGUUCCAGACUGGGUUCCAGAGCAGGUUCCAGACUGGGUCCCCAGGUGUGUCCAGGUGUGUCCCAGGUGUCCCCAGGUGUAUCUCAGGUGUCCCCAGGUGUAUCUCAGGUGUAUCUCAGGUGUCCCCAGGUGUAUCUCAGGUGUGUCCCCAGCUGUCCCCAGCUGUGUCCCAGGUGUGUCCCCAGCCCCCCCAGGUGUGUCCAGGUGUGUCCAGGUGUCCCCAGGUGUAUCUGAGGUGUCCCCAGGUGUGUCCCCAGGUGUUCCAGGUGUGUCCCCAGCUGUGUCAGGUGUAUCCAGGUGUAUCUCAGGUGUCCCCAGCUGUUCCAGGUGUCCCCAGGUGUGUCCCAGGUGUAUCUCAGGUGUAUCUCAGGUGUAUCCAGGUGUCCCCAGGUGUCCCCAGGUGUAUCUCAGGUGUGUCCCCAGCUGUCCCCAGGUGUCCCCAGGUGUCCCCAGGUGUCCCAGGUGUCCCCUGUCCCCGCAGGAAGAUCCAGGAGGAAUCUCUCCGCACGUACCUGUUCACCUACAGCAGCGUCUACGACUCCAUCAGGUGGAUUUGGGCUGAAAAACGGGGA